RNAcentral lists this ribosomal RNA (435 nucleotides) under uncultured bacterium. Its description in RNAcentral is "partial 16S ribosomal RNA". It matches the Rfam family "Bacterial small subunit ribosomal RNA", at positions 28 to 507 of the family's 1533-position model. The record is from RNAcentral.
GAUGAACGCUGGCGGUAUGCUUAACACAUGCAAGUCGAACGGACUCUUCGGAGUUAGUGGCGGACGGGUGAGUAACGCGUGAGAAUCUGGCUUUGGGUUCGGGACAACCACUGGAAACGGUGGCUAAUACCGGAUGUGCCGAGAGGUAAAAGAGAAAUUGCCUGAAGAUGAGCUCGCGUCUGAUUAGCUAGUUGGUGAGGUAAAGGCUCACCAAGGCAGCGAUCAGUAGCUGGUCUGAGAGGAUGACCAGCCACACUGGGACUGAGACACGGCCCAGACGACUACGGGAGGAAGCAGGGAAGAAUGUUCCGGAAUGGGCGAAAGACUGACGAAGGAAUACCGCGUGAGGGAAGAAGGCACUUGGGUUGUAAACCUCUUUUCUUAGGGAAGAACAAAAUGACGGUACCUAAGGAAUCAGCAUCGGCUAACUCCGUG